Molecule: ribosomal RNA, 422 nt
Filed under: uncultured prokaryote
Description: bacterial SSU rRNA
Rfam family: Bacterial small subunit ribosomal RNA
Source: RNAcentral
UGAGGAAUAUUGGUCAAUGGGCGAAAGCCUGAACCAGCCAAGUAGCGUGCAGGAUGACGGCCCUAUGGGUUGUAAACUGCUUUUAUACAGGAAUAAAGUUAGCCACGUGUGGUUAUUUGUAGGUACUGUAUGAAUAAGGACCGGCUAAUUCCGUGCCAGCAGCCGCGGUAAUACGGAAGGUCCAGGCGUUAUCCGGAUUUAUUGGGUUUAAAGGGAGCGUAGGCCGUCUGUUAAGCGUGUUGUGAAAUGUAGAUGCUCAACAUCUGAAUUGCCUCGCGAACUGGCAGACUUGAGUGGGCGCAACGUAGGCGGAAUUCGUGGUGUAGCGGUGAAAUUCUUAGAUAUCACGAAGAACUCCAAUUGCGAAGGCAGCUUACGGGAGCACAACUGACGCUGAAGCUCGAAAGUGCGGGUAUCGAACA